AGUGAACGCUGGCGGUAGGCCUAACACAUGCAAGUCGAACGGCAGCACAGUAAGAGCUUGCUCUUACGGGUGGCGAGUGGCGGACGGGUGAGGAAUACAUCGGAAUCUACUUUUUCGUGGGGGAUAACGUAGGGAAACUUACGCUAAUACCGCAUACGACCUACGGGUGAAAGCAGGGGAUCUUCGGACCUUGCGCGAUUGAAUGAGCCGAUGUCGGAUUAGCUAGUUGGCGGGGUAAAGGCCCACCAAGGCGACGAUCCGUAGCUGGUCUGAGAGGAUGAACAGCCAAACUGGAACUGAGACACGGUCCAGACUCCUAAGGGAGGCAGCAGUGGGGAAUAUUGGACAAUGGGCGCAAGCCUGAUCCAGCCAUACCGCGUGGGUGAAGAAGGCCUUCGGGUUGUAAAGCCCUUUUGUUGGGAAAGAAAAGCAGCAGGUUAAUAACCCGCUGGUCUGACGGUACCCAAAGAAUAAGCACCGGCUAACUUCGUG
RNAcentral lists this ribosomal RNA (492 nucleotides) under uncultured bacterium. RNAcentral's name for it is "partial 16S ribosomal RNA". It matches the Rfam family "Bacterial small subunit ribosomal RNA", at positions 29 to 507 of the family's 1533-position model. The record is from RNAcentral.